AAAUGCUUAAAAGCGCCAGGACAUUUUUCGCUUAGAAAAAUGUUGACGAGGUUGGAGGUUAAUCGAGUAAUCGGCGGAUACCUCCCGGUGUUUAUCACCACCGUUAAAGGCAUAUAACAAAACUCGAGAUUAAUCUCGAGGACAAAAGGUGCUGGGUGAUAAG
RNAcentral lists this non-coding RNA (163 nucleotides) under Natranaerobius trueperi. Its description in RNAcentral is "GlcN6P sequence". It matches the Rfam family "glmS glucosamine-6-phosphate activated ribozyme aptamer". From Rfam's summary of the family: This entry contains a glucosamine-6-phosphate activated ribozyme that is found in the mRNA for GlmS. GlmS is an enzyme that uses fructose-6-phosphate and glutamine to generate glucosamine-6-phosphate. The ribozyme catalyses self cleavage of the glmS mRNA that is thought to regulate GlmS activity. Lineage: Bacteria; Bacillati; Bacillota; Clostridia; Natranaerobiales; Natranaerobiaceae. The record is from Rfam by way of RNAcentral.